GCUGAAGACUGCCAGGGGUGGAUAAGGCAGGCCAAGCGUUUCUAUCCAAGGUGCAGAGACAUCUCAGCUGAAGACUGCCAGGGGUGGAUAAGGCAGGCCAAGCGUUUCUAUCCAAGGUGCAGAGACAUCUCAGCUGAAGACUGUCAGGGGUGGAUGAGGCAGGCCAAGCGUUUCUAUCCAAGGUGCAGAGACAUCUCAGCUGAAGACUGCCAGGGGUGGAUGAGGCAGGCCAAGCGUUUCUAUCCAAGGUGCAGAGACAUCUCAGCUGAAGACUGCCAGGGGUGGAUAAGGCAGGCCAAGCGUUUCUAUCCAAGGUGCAGAGACAUCUCAGCUGAAGACUGCCAGGGGUGGAUGAGGCAGGCCAAGCGUUUCUAUCCAAGGUGCAGAGACAUCUCAGCUGAAGACUGUCAGGGGUGGAUGAGGCAGGCCAAGCGUUUCUAUCCAAGGUGCAGAGACAUCUCAGCUGAAGACUGCCAGGGGUGGAUGAGGCAGGCCAAGCGUUUCUAUCUAAGGUGCAGAGACAUCUCAGCUGAAGACUGCCAGGGGUGGAUGAGGCAGGCCAAGCGUUUCUAUCUAAGGUGCAGAGACAUCUCAGCUGAAGACUGCCAGGGGUGGAGGAGGCAGCCCAAGCGUUUCUAUCCAAGGUGCAGAGACAUCUCAGCUGAAGACUGCCAGGGGUGGAUGAGGCAGCCCAAGCGUUUCUAUCCAAGGUGCAGAGACAUCUCAGCUGAAGACUGCCAGGGGUGGAUGAGGCAGCCCAAGCGUUUCUAUCUAAGGUGCAUAGCGAGAGACGACAUAAGAUGUGAUGUGGACGAGAACAUGGUAUAGAUUAGAACAGGACUGGACAUGUUUGUGUUUUCCCCUUCUCUGCCUUUUUUUACAGUAAUUGUGUUUUAUUUUUACACAUUGGGAACCAAAAGUCAUGUAUGUUGGAUGUUUUGUUGUUGAUCACUGGCAGUAAUUUCAUCUUGCUAAAUAAAGCUUUUACUGCAGCAAUUCUGUCACUUACUAUUCUUUUCUAUUGUACAUUCUACAAAAUAAAGAUGACUCAUUCACUUUUAGAUAGUGUGUUGCCAAAAAUGCACACAAUUGACACUCAACCCAAAAAUGUAGAGUGGUUUACAGUAAAUGGAAACUGAAUUAAAAAAGAACAAUGGAUUUCAUAUUAUCUAUUGUAUGCAGGUUCUGAAACAUGAAAAGGAUUGCAGUUUUUGUAAUGCCAUCAACUGUUAGUAUUUUGAAAGUCAUUGUGCUAUGAUUGACGAUAUGUUCCUCGUGGAUAGAAAACAUGUGCUAGUGUUUUGACAGAAUGAUUAGAUAUUCAGUCGGGUUUGCCGUGUUUUGAUAGAGUUACUGUACGUCGAGAAAGUUUUUUUGCAUUUUGAAAUGUAGAGAUGGUAUUUAAUGAACAAAAUGAGGUUUUGAGCAGAAAAUGAACUAUUUGACUAAUUGUGUGAUGUAGGUGUGUUGCUCUGUUAAGAGUUUAUAAAAAAGUACCUUAACUAUAGGUAAACGCUUGUUAGCAAUCGUUAAAAAAAAAAGGUUUGAAAAUUUUAAAAAGACUGUAAGCCAUGAUUUGUUGUCAAUGGGAGAAUGGGAGUGUGAUACCUAAACCCGAGUUAGCCGAAGGAUCUCAAGUUAGGAGUCAGUUCAGGAGUCCGUGUUGGCCCAGACAUGAUUGAGACGGUUGUAUAGAUUUGAUUUAGCCUGGUCCUAGAUAUGUUUGUGCUGUCUUGCCAGCUCCUAUGGUCAUUGACAUUGACACAUAUAGAUCUUGGACCAGGCUGGAUGUGCUUGUCUUAUUUGCUGUGGUCCAGGUGCGGAACAUCUUUCAGAUGGUUGUUGGACAUGUGUUUGUCUUGUUGGUAAAACUUUACUUACGAUGAUGGUAUGUAACAUUCAUAAAGUAUUCAUAAAACCUUGAUAUCCAUGACAUGAAUGUCUAUACUUCUCUGUUACAACAUAUACAGUAUUUACCCUACUCUG
This is a long non-coding RNA of Oncorhynchus keta (chum salmon), 1986 nucleotides long. RefSeq lists it as uncharacterized. The transcript has 3 exons. The record is from RefSeq and is a predicted model, not a curated record. Lineage: Eukaryota; Metazoa; Chordata; Actinopteri; Salmoniformes; Salmonidae.